RNAcentral lists this ribosomal RNA (253 nucleotides) under uncultured bacterium. RNAcentral describes it as "partial 16S ribosomal RNA". It matches the Rfam family "Bacterial small subunit ribosomal RNA", at positions 524 to 776 of the family's 1533-position model. The record is from RNAcentral.
UACGGAGGGGGUUAGCGUUGUUCGGAAUUACUGGGCGUAAAGCGCGCGUAGGCGGAUUAGAAAGUUGGGGGUGAAAUCCCGGGGCUCAACCCCGGAACUGCCUCCAAAACUACUAGUCUAGAGUUCGAGAGAGGUGAGUGGAAUUCCGAGUGUAGAGGUGAAAUUCGUAGAUAUUCGGAGGAACACCAGUGGCGAAGGCGGCUCACUGGCUCGAUACUGACGCUGAGGUGCGAAAGUGGGGGGAGCAAACAUC